GAGGAUUUUGAGUCCUUUAGUGCAGGUUCGGAUCCUGUUUUUCUA
This 45-nucleotide transfer RNA is filed under the name Plestiodon obsoletus. RNAcentral's name for it is "partial tRNA-Gln". Lineage: Eukaryota; Metazoa; Chordata; Lepidosauria; Squamata; Scincidae. The record is from RNAcentral.